Molecule: ribosomal RNA, 460 nt
Filed under: uncultured bacterium
Lineage: Bacteria
Description: partial 16S ribosomal RNA
Rfam family: Bacterial small subunit ribosomal RNA
Source: RNAcentral
CCUACGGGUGGCAGCAGUGAGGAAUAUUGGUCAAUGGGCGCGAGCCUGAACCAGCCAAGUCGCGUGAGGGAUGACGGCCCUACGGGUUGUAAACUUCUUUUGUAGGGGAGUAAAGUGCGGCACGCGUCCCUUUUUGUGUGUACUUGAUGAAUAAGCAUCGGCUAACUCCGUGCCAGCAGCCGCGGUAAUACGGAGGAUCCGAGCGUUAUCCGGAUUUAUUGGGUUUAAAGGGAGCGUAGAGGGGAUGGUAAGUCAGUGGUGAAAGUGUGCGGCUCAACCCUAAACUUGCAAUUGAUACUGGGAGUCUUGAGUACAGGUGAGGUAGGCGGAAUGCGUGGUGUAGCGGUGAAAUGCUUAGAUAUCACGAAGAACUCCGAUUGCGAAGGCAGCUUACUAAACUGCCACUGACAUUGAUGCUCGAAAGCGUGGGUAUCAAACAGGAUUAGAUACCCUUGUAGUC